GUGUUGAGGGUUGUACGACGGCAUUGCGGAGCCGCGGACCCUGGCGCUGGGACCUCGGUACUGUGAGGUCUUCGGUCCACUACCCAAGCGAGGCGACUCAAAGUGAGUGGCCGCCCCCGGGGAAGCUGCGGAAGCCUGCCCCGGAGCCCGGCCGCAGACACCCGCGGGGCCCUCCGGUGCCGAGGCUGGGGAGACGCGGCUUCCGAGGAUUCUUAAGCCUUUGAGAAGGGAUCUUGUUCAUUGGGGAGCGGGCUCUUCUCUAUGACGCUUUGCUGAGGACUUGAUGGGAUAAGUGGCAGGUGACUUUGGGAAAUAAAUGACUGCAGAGUCCUGGUGUUGACCAGAUGAGAGAGGACCUGUUCAAGGGACAGUCUAGAGGAUUGCAGGAGGUCUGUUUACAAUAGCUAAGAAUUGGGAUCAACCAAGAUGCCCACCAACAGAUGAAUGGAAAAUGAAAAUGUGCAUAUACACAGUGCAAAUCAAUUCAGGAGGACAGAAAUAUGAAAUUAUGAAGUUUGCAGGAAGUAGAUGGAUUUGGAAAGAAUCAUUUUUAAGUUAAGUGACUAAGACUCAGGAAUACCAAAACUUGAUGCAUGUGGGUCUUAGCUUGUAAUGUCCAUAAGUGUGAGUAUCUAUAAGGAGACAAAUGUGAAUAAAACCUAUAAACAUAGAACCACAACCAAAAGAGAAUCUAACAAGACAGGCUUCUGUCAGAGCACUUGAUUACCUACCUGCCUGAGGAAAAAGGUAAGACCCUAGUGCUGAAGACAUCACAUGUCGCCAGCACAGAACAGCGAGAGAUCUGGCUGGGAUCUGGAAGGAAGCCAGAUCCCAGAUGGUUAGCCCAUAUUGUGGUGGAAAGCACUACAUGUGCUGCUGGGGGAAGUGGCCAACAAUGUUGUGAGCAAGCUGGGGACAUUUCUAUACAGAAGCUACCAGUCUAUCAAGAUGCACACACACACCUGUGCUAUUGUGUCACCCAGCCUAAGUGGGUAACCCAGUGGUGCUGUGGUUGGCUAAGAGAGCCAUUCAGUGGAAAGGAACCCAUAGGUGGUACUGGGAACCAAGUCAGAAUCCUAUGGAGACUAGGAUCAUGGACUCCAAUGAGAAACUCCCACUAGUCUUUGGCCAAAAGUGAGGCUAUGCCCAUCAAAAUCUCUCCUAAUUAACUCUGCUUAUCCACUUUAACCUAUGCUGAUCUCACUGUCCACUGAAGAAUCUGUUUUUCUUUAAAAGAAGGCCACAAAAACCAAGCACAAACAAUCUAUCAAGAAGACAAUAAAAGAUAGCUGUCUUCCCAUCAUGAGAUGAGCCACCCCUCAAAUAUCAGCUGGGGGACCUGGUGAACCCACAGAGGUAUCAGGUUAAUGAGCAAGAGUGCUGCUUCCAUAGUGAGCUUGACAACCCGCUCCAGGGUGAUGUGACAGACACUGAGGACACUUAAAACGCACCAAAGCAGAAACCAGAAGUUGCUGAGAGCUCAACACUAAAGUAGACUUAAAACAACCACCUCGGCUCAGGGAAUUUUCAGAAGAAAGGGCAGAAUGAUUGUAAGAGCCAGAAGGUGGGAGGGAAUAUCCAGAGGCACUUCCCCCGUACAGUGACCGUUGCUGUCACAACUCAACCCACAACGCCACAGUGAAUACCAGCAAUCCAACCAAGGAGGGCUCUCAGUGGAGUGGAGACAGGGAAGAGGGAAAUCGUACCAAUGCAUGAA
Molecule: long non-coding RNA, 1717 nt
Organism: Jaculus jaculus (lesser Egyptian jerboa)
Lineage: Eukaryota; Metazoa; Chordata; Mammalia; Rodentia; Dipodidae
Exons: 3
Source: RefSeq, a predicted model, not a curated record